RNAcentral lists this ribosomal RNA (1423 nucleotides) under Vibrio sp. PaD3.32. Its description in RNAcentral is "bacterial SSU rRNA". It matches the Rfam family "Bacterial small subunit ribosomal RNA". The record is from RNAcentral. Lineage: Bacteria; Pseudomonadati; Pseudomonadota; Gammaproteobacteria; Vibrionales; Vibrionaceae.
GCCUAACACAUGCAAGUCGAGCGGAAACGAGUUAUCUGAACUUUCGGGGAACGAUAACGGCGUCGAGCGGCGGACGGGUGAGUAAUGCCUAGGAAAUUGCCCUGAUGUGGGGGAUAACCAUUGGAAACGAUGGCUAAUACCGCAUAAUGCCUACGGGCCAAAGAGGGGGACCUUCGGGCCUCUCGCGUCAGGAUAUGCCUAGGUGGGAUUAGCUAGUUGGUGAGGUAAUGGCUCACCAAGGCGACGAUCCCUAGCUGGUCUGAGAGGAUGAUCAGCCACACUGGAACUGAGACACGGUCCAGACUCCUACGGGAGGCAGCAGUGGGGAAUAUUGCACAAUGGGCGCAAGCCUGAUGCAGCCAUGCCGCGUGUGUGAAGAAGGCCUUCGGGUUGUAAAGCACUUUCAGUCGUGAGGAAGGUGGUGUAGUUAAUAGCUCUAUUAUUUGACGUUAGCGACAGAAGAAGCACCGGCUAACUCCGUGCCAGCAGCCGCGGUAAUACGGAGGGUGCGAGCGUUAAUCGGAAUUACUGGGCGUAAAGCGCAUGCAGGUGGUUUGUUAAGUCAGAUGUGAAAGCCCGGGGCUCAACCUCGGAAUAGCAUUUGAAACUGGCAGACUAGAGUACUGUAGAGGGGGGUAGAAUUUCAGGUGUAGCGGUGAAAUGCGUAGAGAUCUGAAGGAAUACCGGUGGCGAAGGCGGCCCCCUGGACAGAUACUGACACUCAGAUGCGAAAGCGUGGGGAGCAAACAGGAUUAGAUACCCUGGUAGUCCACGCCGUAAACGAUGUCUACUUGGAGGUUGUGGCCUUGAGCCGUGGCUUUCGGAGCUAACGCGUUAAGUAGACCGCCUGGGGAGUACGGUCGCAAGAUUAAAACUCAAAUGAAUUGACGGGGGCCCGCACAAGCGGUGGAGCAUGUGGUUUAAUUCGAUGCAACGCGAAGAACCUUACCUACUCUUGACAUCCAGAGAACUUUCCAGAGAUGGAUUGGUGCCUUCGGGAACUCUGAGACAGGUGCUGCAUGGCUGUCGUCAGCUCGUGUUGUGAAAUGUUGGGUUAAGUCCCGCAACGAGCGCAACCCUUAUCCUUGUUUGCCAGCGAGUAAUGUCGGGAACUCCAGGGAGACUGCCGGUGAUAAACCGGAGGAAGGUGGGGACGACGUCAAGUCAUCAUGGCCCUUACGAGUAGGGCUACACACGUGCUACAAUGGCGCAUACAGAGGGCAGCAAGCUAGCGAUAGUGAGCGAAUCCCAAAAAGUGCGUCGUAGUCCGGAUUGGAGUCUGCAACUCGACUCCAUGAAGUCGGAAUCGCUAGUAAUCGUGGAUCAGAAUGCCACGGUGAAUACGUUCCCGGGCCUUGUACACACCGCCCGUCACACCAUGGGAGUGGGCUGCAAAAGAAGUAGGUAGUUUAACCUUCGGGAG